Molecule: long non-coding RNA, 2388 nt
Organism: Bos grunniens (domestic yak)
Lineage: Eukaryota; Metazoa; Chordata; Mammalia; Artiodactyla; Bovidae
Source: Ensembl
GCGGAGCCUCACCACGGGUUCCAGGUUCACUCGCAGGAUUUGGCGCGCUUUACGCCGUGCCGCCGCCAGGCUGCGCUCUCCCCACACGUCGCUGCCGACGCGGAUGGUGGGGAAGGUGGUCAGCGUCGGGGUGGCCGCCCUCCAGAUCUCCUCCAGGGUGCGGCCCCCGAAGCAGGGUUCCGGGGCCGCAGGCUUGACGGGGCAGCUCUCCUCGGGGACCGGCGGCGGGGGCGGCCGCUGCUGGCACCUCCCGCCCGGCGCGUCUCUCGCUACUUUUCUCGCCUCCGCCGCCGCUGCCCCUCCCCCUCCGAGGGCGGAGGACGCGGGUGAAGAUCCUGCCGCCCGGUACAAGAUGGCGGCCGGCGCCCACCCCUGGGCUUUGUCAUUGGACGGCGCCUCGCCCCCCUGGUUUCUCUUUCUUCUCCUCUCUUGCCUCCUUUCGCCCUCUGCCUUUCUUUAAAUGUGCCCGCCUUUGGCCCCUCCUACUGCAGCCCCGACUCCACCCAUUGGGUGCUCUCAGAAGAGGGCGGGGACUAAUGGGGGAGAGGCCAGUUCCUGGAAGAUGGUGCUGGGGUGGGUGAUGGUGGCUCUUGGACACGAGUCAACAGUUGGGUAGGUAUAUGAGGACGGUCCCUUGUCUAGAGUGGACAUCAGCUCCACUUGGGGGGGAGUCACUCUACUCUCGGAAUGAGUGGAUGUGCAUUUAUGGAUUGAGCUGGGAGGUCUACCAGUCUGAAUAACAAAGGGAGACCUACCCAAAGGCUGUAGUUUGUAUCACAAAAGGGGAAAUUGGGUGUAAGUCUAGAGGGAAUGGGCCUUCCACAAUUCUCUUCUGAACCUUCAGAAGCCUCUCUUGGCAUCUUCAUCCAACUCUUACCCACUUUGACCCCAAUCCAUGUCAAGCAACGCUAGUAAUCCAGAAUCAUUCAGAUAAUACGGACGCUGUCAGUGGCAUAGUCUCCUUCUAGACAGUGGAACCAUCUUCACAUUUAAGAGAUGCUCUGCUUAUCAGGAAAGUAAAGCCUUUUAUACCCAUAGAACUUUGCUCAAGUUGAUCAAAGAUCAAUUACAACAAAGCCAUUCUCCUUACAGAAAAUAUAAUUUUUAAAUAUACAGUUGGUUUUAAAUGAGUGCACUUCACCUUUCAUUUAGUUUUAGUAUGUCCCUUUGCAGUACCAUCUCUAGCGCAGAGAAAGGAUGCAGUUUCACAAUCAAAAGGUUUCUGUUGAAAAGAACAGGUUGUUAAGACCCCAUCACCUUUUGUAUUUGAGAGGAGGGGAUUGAAUGUUUAUAGAGUAAUGCACAGUCUUCUGUCAUCUUUUCUAUCCUCAAUACUUAGUUCAGCACCUGUCAGACAGUGGGCACUCUAUUUUUGUUGAGUGAACCAGUGAGAAACAUAAUGAUGUGAGAAACAUAUAUUCAAAUUGCUAACAGGACAAUUUCACAUUUUACAUUUCAGGUUUCUUUUAACUCUGUUAAAGUUUUAAGGUUUUAAAAAAAAAAAAAAAAAGCACUCCUAAAACAUAGAACUGUGAGGUAGACAUGCAAAUUUUACCCCUGAGAGAGCACUUUAUUUUGCAGUAGAAAACUCAUAGAGCAGAGUUUUGUGAUUCACACAUAGCUGCUAUUGGUUCCUUCAAAUAUUUGAGCUAAAAGGCACCUAGUUCAAUCUCCUUAUUUCAUGGAUGAGGAAAUUUGGAUCCACAGAGGUUAGGUAAUGAGGCUUCUUGAUUGUAGGACUAGGACUAUAGUUUAGGUCUUUGGAUUCCUAAUCUUAGUGAUCUUUAUAUUUCACUAGAGAUUUUACAAGUUGUACUGCUCAGACUCAAAGAGAUUCAAUAGAAAAUGCUUUAUGAGUGGAGUGACCAAGGAACAGAGCUGUUCACCUGAUUCCACUUCUGGCUCCUCCCAGAAUUGAGCAGUUUUUAACCUGUCCAGUAUACUGGACUUACAGAUUAUAUUUUCUUAGAACCAGAUUUUAACUUCGAUAAAAAAUAAAAAUAUUUUGAAAGUUGCUUCUCUGUACCACAGCAUCCUGUCCAUGCACUGGGUUUAUGCAAAAAUCAAGCUUCCUACCAGAGGACCAGUUCGCAACCUACCUAAAUCAUGGUAACUUUCUGAAGAGAAAAUCAGUUUCCUAGAAAAGCAUAUCCUUAUUUCAUGGAUCAGGAAAUUUGGAUCCACAGAGGUUAGGUAAUGAGGCUUCUUGAUUGUAGGACUAGGACUAUAGUUUAGGUCUUUGGAUUCCUAAUCUUAGUGAUCUUUAUAUUUCACUAGAGAUUUUACAAGUUGUACUGCUCAGACUCAAAGAGAUUCAAUAGAAAAUGCUUUAUGAGUGGAGUGACCAAGGAACAGAGCUGUUCACCUGAUUCCACUUCUGGCUCCUCC